ACUCUUUCCCUACACGACGCUAUUCCCACCUAAUUUGGUUUUGAGUUCCUGAAUCUUUCUGUCCUUUAAAUCUAUUUGGUUUUGCUUUCUCUUUAAGGCUUGAUUAACUACACAUUUGGGAG
Amblyraja radiata (thorny skate) is the source of this 122-nucleotide long non-coding RNA. RefSeq lists it as uncharacterized. NCBI's taxonomy places the organism in Eukaryota, Metazoa, Chordata, Chondrichthyes, Rajiformes, Rajidae. The record is from RefSeq and is a predicted model, not a curated record. The transcript has 4 exons.